RNAcentral lists this long non-coding RNA (299 nucleotides) under Gallus gallus (chicken). The record is from RNAcentral. Lineage: Eukaryota; Metazoa; Chordata; Aves; Galliformes; Phasianidae.
CCACGCUGUCCCAGUUGAUAGGCUGAGAAACACCAAUUAGGGAACACAGGAUCAUAUCCAAAACCAUUUGAUUGUUGUCAUAUGGAAAGUUAUUGUUUUCUGAAAAACCACGACUCAUCUUUCGCUGCUUACACCUGGCGGGCUCCCAGGCCAGCGCAAAGCAGCGGGGCGGGCGGCGGCUGCUCCUCUGGGCGUAGAGCGGGGGGACGGAGCCGUUUCCUGAGGAGAGGCGCCGGACGGCGGUGACCCCAGCAGCAGCAGCCCAGCACUCAGCCACCGAGCCGUACGCCGGCCACUUC